This 440-nucleotide ribosomal RNA is filed under the name uncultured bacterium. RNAcentral's name for it is "bacterial SSU rRNA". It matches the Rfam family "Bacterial small subunit ribosomal RNA", at positions 340 to 774 of the family's 1533-position model. The record is from RNAcentral.
UACGGGAGGCAGCAGUGGGGAAUAUUGCACAAUGGGCGCAAGCCUGAUGCAGCCAUGCCGCGUGUAUGAAGAAGGCCUUCGGGUUGUAAAGUACUUUCAGUCGUGAGGAAGGUGUUAAGGUUAAUAACCUUAGCAAUUGACGUUAGCGACAGAAGAAGCACCGGCUAACUCCGUGCCAGCAGCCGCGGUAAUACGGAGGGUGCGAGCGUUAAUCGGAAUUACUGGGCGUAAAGGGCACGCAGGCGGUUAAUUAAGUUGGAUGUGAAAUCCCCGGGCUUAACCUGGGAAUGGCAUUCAAGACUGGUUAGCUAGAGUCUUGUAGAGGGGGUAGAAUUCCAUGUGUAGCGGUGAAAUGCGUAGAGAUGUGGAGGAAUACCGGUGGCGAAGGCGGCCCCUGGACAAAGGCUGACGCUCAUGUGCGAAAGCGUGGGGAGCGAAAC